RNAcentral lists this transfer RNA (62 nucleotides) under Sycobia sp. 2 JXW-2020. Its description in RNAcentral is "tRNA-Trp". The record is from RNAcentral. Lineage: Eukaryota; Metazoa; Arthropoda; Insecta; Hymenoptera; Epichrysomallidae.
AAAAUUUUAAGUUAAAAAAACUAUAAGCCUUCAAAGUUUAAAUUACUUUAAUGUAAAUUUUA